UCCAUCACAAGGUAACCCAGGACACAACAACUUGAGGUCUCACACUCUGCUCUUCAGAGUCACCCAACAGCUGGGUAAAAAGGACAGCCCCUGUUGGGUUAAGAUGGAGGAAGGAAGAAUGCAGGGACAAAGUUGGGUUAUUUAAGACCUGUUUUCAGGUGAACAAGGGCUAUUGCCUUGCAGCAGUACACUCAGCAGGCUGCUGCCACAUCCCACAGUCCCAAAGGCUGCUUGAGCUCUUCCAGCUGUUGACACCCAUUUGAAGAGGGAAAUGGAAGCAGAAAGAAAACAAGAAGCAUGGGGAAGAAUAAACAUUCCACAGGACAUCCUUUGGGAACCAGUACCAGAUACAGGCUCAGGAUGCCAACAGGAAUAAAGUCAGCACUGCCAGGUGUGGCUGCUCAGAGCCCUGUGCAACUGACCAGGGAAUGGGACUGGAGCAUCACAAAGGGUCCCCUUCAACAUCAAUUACUCUGUAGGAAAGGAAUCAGAAAAUAGCUGUAUACUCUACUAGCUAAUAAUAGUGUGCUUUUUG
Molecule: non-coding RNA, 535 nt
Organism: Meleagris gallopavo (turkey)
Lineage: Eukaryota; Metazoa; Chordata; Aves; Galliformes; Phasianidae
Source: RefSeq, a predicted model, not a curated record